GACGAACGCUGGCGGCGUGCUUAACACAUGCAAGUCGAACGGAAAGGCCCUGCUUUUGUGGGGUGCUCGAGUGGCGAACGGGUGAGUAACACGUGAGUAACCUGCCCUUGACUUUGGGAUAACUUCAGGAAACUGGGGCUAAUACCGGAUAGGAGCUCCUGCUGCAUGGUGGGGGUUGGAAAGUUUCGGCGGUUGGGGAUGGACUCGCGGCUUAUCAGCUUGUUGGUGGGGUAGUGGCUUACCAAGGCUUUGACGGGUAGCCGGCCUGAGAGGGUGACCGGCCACAUUGGGACUGAGAUACGGCCCAGACUCCUACGGGAGGCAGCAGUGGGGAAUAUUGCACAAUGGGAGGAAGCCUGAUGCAGAAACGCCGCGUGCGGGAUGACGGCCUUCGGGUUGUAAACCGCUUUCGCCUGUGACGAAGCGGGAGUGACGGUAAUGGGUAAAGAAGCACCGGCUAACUACGUG
This 468-nucleotide ribosomal RNA is filed under the name uncultured bacterium. RNAcentral describes it as "partial 16S ribosomal RNA". It matches the Rfam family "Bacterial small subunit ribosomal RNA", at positions 28 to 507 of the family's 1533-position model. The record is from RNAcentral.